UAGAUUUGGGGGUAAUUUAUUAUGCAGCAAUAGAUAGCCAUUGGGAUACAAUAGUGAGUAAGAGAUGUCUGUUCUCUCCCAGGAGAAGACAAGGGUAUUGAACAAGCAGUCCGAGCUGUGAUGAGUGUUUGAAGAAUCAUUAGAGAUGCUCUGACUCACCAGUUUCCUUUUCUCUACAUCCCAGUCAUCCAAAAAAAUCUGUUGUCAUUGUGCCCAAGAAUUCACAUGCAAUCAAGUUGAUGAGAUGGAAUAAUGCUGAUGAGCACGUAUGCAGCCUUGUGGGGUCACGGACAGGACACUCAGCACUCAACAGAUCUUUAUGCUCUGCCGGGCCUGCUCUGUGAUCAGCCCAUUCUCACAUUGAGACACUGAAGAACUGUGAGAGCUCUCAGUCCAAUUCCCUUGCUUCGCAGAAGAAAAUGAGGCUCAGUGCAAGGAACUGACUUACUUGCAUGAGGUCCCCCAUUUGGUAAGUGACUGAUUCUGAAUUCAAAGCCAUACUUCAUGACUCCCAAACCAGUGCUCCUUUCAUUGUACCACUCUUCUCUCAGGUGAGAAUGAAGACGCAUUAAAUUCAAACACACACACACACACCACUCAUAGUAUAAAAUCUAAGCUGUGUCUGACUGGUAACUACCAAAUGGGGACCAGCUGAGUUCUAGACAGAGGCUCCUGUGUGCAUGGGUGCUUGCGUGUGUGUUUUAUGAGGCAAAUAGGGGACACAUUGCUGAGAACACUCUAGGGUCUUGUCUCUGUGACUCGAGCAGUAAUAACACUCAAAGCUUAGGCUACACGUUGGACAUUGUUACAAUUCAUGGAUUUCACUUUUCUAGAGAUACUCUUCAUAAAGGCUCAGUUCCUUGAUAUCAACGGGAUGUGGCAGUUUCUUUAUUUAAAGUGUGCUCUAGGACACAGAACUUGGGUCUUGGAGUCUGGAAUCCUGGUUUCUACAGUGACCUUGGUUGAGCUAAUUACUUAACCUCUCCGAGUCUGUCUUCUCCCCUUCAAUCUGGGAGAAUAAUGCCUGCCAUAUUUUUGUCAUAAGGUUUUUCUGAGGAUCAAAUAUAUAUGAAAGUGCUUUAUAAACUGUAAAGUACAUGUAAGUGCAGGAAUUACUACUUCCAAUAUUACUAUAUAAGAAAGAUCACGCAGAAUCACUACUUAGGCAUGCUGGCUCAGUAAAAAUGUGAAGUAGGCUAGGUGAUCUUUGGCCCUCCAUCACCUACCUCCACCCAUUCCUGAUAACCCAGAUCCUCCAGAUCCUCCAGCUCCUCAACUAGAAGAACUGCCUGGCAGGUGAUGGAGGAGGUAUUGCUGGACACCCCCCCGCCACCACCACCAAAUGACAGCCCGAGUCAGGCUGCCUGUCCAUCU
Molecule: long non-coding RNA, 1374 nt
Organism: Physeter macrocephalus (sperm whale)
Lineage: Eukaryota; Metazoa; Chordata; Mammalia; Artiodactyla; Physeteridae
Exons: 3
Source: RefSeq, a predicted model, not a curated record